Molecule: ribosomal RNA, 293 nt
Filed under: uncultured bacterium
Lineage: Bacteria
Description: partial 16S ribosomal RNA
Rfam family: Bacterial small subunit ribosomal RNA
Source: RNAcentral
GAAUGCCUACGGGAGGCAGCAGUGGGGGAUAUUGCACAAUGGGGGAAACCCUGAUGCAGCGACGCCGCGUGGGAGAAGAAGCGCCUCGGCGCGUAAAGCCCUGUCAGCAGGGAAGAAAAUGACGGUACCUGAAGAAGAAGCCCCGGCUAACUACGUGCCAGCAGCCGCGGUAAUACGUAGGGGGCAAGCGUUAUCCGGAUUUACUGAGUGUAAAGGGAGCGCAGGUGGCAUGGUAAGCCAGAAGUGAAAACCCAGGGCUCAACUCUGCGGAUUGCUUUUGGAACUUUCAAGCU